Prionailurus viverrinus (fishing cat) is the source of this 306-nucleotide long non-coding RNA. RefSeq lists it as uncharacterized. NCBI's taxonomy places the organism in Eukaryota, Metazoa, Chordata, Mammalia, Carnivora, Felidae. The transcript has 3 exons. The record is from RefSeq and is a predicted model, not a curated record.
AGGCAACUUCCGGGAACGUCCGUUUCCUCACCGGUACGUGGAGAUCAGAGCCCCAGCUUCCAGGGUUUGUCGUGCUGGAUCAUGGUGUGGGUGCUCGACACGGAUUUAUUACUCUGAUGAAUGAAUGAAGACUUGGCAUCUGAUUCUCACAAUAACCCAUGACGAAGACACACGUGUUUGGAGAACGCUGGUUUCUUUGCAGAACUUGGCAGAGUCUUCAGCGUCCAAGGAAACGCUUCUCAGCAAUCCAAUAGGAGAUUCGCAGACAUUAUUAUUAUUUCAAGUUUGCAAGAGAAGAAAAAUACC